AUAUGGUCAAGCGAAUACGGGCUCAUGGUGAAUGCCUCGGAGUCGUACGGCGAAGAAGGCCGUGAUAAGCUGCGAUAAGCCUGGGGGAGGAGCACAUAUCCCGCGAUCCCAGGAUGGCCGAAUGGGGUAACCCAACAGACGAGAGUCUGUUAUUGCAUGCUGAAUCCAUAGGCAUGCAAAGCGAAACCCAGGGAACUGAACCAUCUAAGUACCUGGAGGAAAAGAAAUCAACAGAGAUUCCCCAAGUAGCGGCGAGCGAACGGGGAAGAGCCUAAACUCAAGUCGGUGCCAAGGCGCACGCCGUUGCCGACUGGGGGUUGCAGGUGCCGCGUGGAGCUACGUGCGGGAGCUCGCGAAGUGACAAAGGUUCUCGGUAGGGGAACGGCAUGGGAAGGCCGGCCAGAGGGGGUGAGAGCCCCGUACCCGACACUGAGGAUCCUUCGUGAUGCGGCUACCUAAGUACGGCGAGGCCAGAGAAACCUUGUCGGAAGCCGGGUCUACCACGAUCCAAGGCUAAACACGUGACGACUACCGAUAGCGCAGAAGUACCGCGAGGGAAAGGCGAAAAGAACCCCGGCGAGGGGAGUGAAAGAGAACCUGAAACCAUGAGCCCACAACAGGUCGGAGGGAUCGCAAGAUCCUGACGGCGUGCCUUUUGUAGAAUGAGCCUGCGAGUUACGGUUGCAAGCGAGGUUAAGGGAUGGGAGUCCCGGAGCCGUAGGGAAACCGAGUCUGAUAAGGGCGUUCGCCACGCAAGUGGCGAGGAGUUUGCAGUCGUAGACCCGAAGCCAGGUGAUCUUAUUACGGUCAGGUUGAAGCUUGAGUAAAAUCAAGUGGAGGACCGAACUCUAGUGUGUUAAAAAACGCAGGGAUGAACCGUGAUAAGGGGUGAAAGGCUAAUCAAACCUGGAAAUAGCUGGCACUCCCCGAAAUGCCUUGAGGGACAGCCUCAUACAAACGUUCAGGAGGUAGAGCACUGUUUGGACUAGGGCUCUUCACCGGGUACCAAACCCAGGCAAACUCCGAAUGCCUGAACGCAACGUAUGGGAGUGAGACAGUGUGCGACAAAGUUCAUUGUCGAGAGGGAAACAGCCCAGACCGACAGCUAAGGUCCCCAAAUGCCGCUGAGUGUUAAAUGAUGUGCGAUUGCCCAGACAGCCAGGAGGUUGGCUUAGAAGCAGCCAUUCCUUCAAAGAGUGCGUAAUAGCUCACUGGUCGAGCAAUGGUGCGCAGACAAUGUAACGGGGCUAAGCGGCAUACCGAAGCUUCGGAAUCAUCGCGCAAGCGGUGGUUGGUAGGGGAGCAUUCCAUGGACCGGUGAAGGUCGCCCGGAAGGGCGGCUGGAGGGGAUGGAAGAGAGAAUGCAGGUAUAAGUAUACGAAAAGACGGGUGAGAUCCCCGUCCGCCGAAAACCUAAGGUUUCCUGGGUAAAGGUCAUCUGCCCAGGGUUAGUCGGCCCCUAAGAUGAGGCGGAAACGCGUAGUCGAUGGGAAGCUGGUUCAUAUUCCAGCACCAUGCACGGAUUCGAUGGGAUGACGCAUGAGGCGAAACCCGGCCGGAGAACGGUUGUUCCGGUCGAAACGACGAGCUGUUGAAGGGGCCAGGGAAAUCCGGUCCUCGAGGUGAGUCGCGACAGCGAGUGGAGCUACGGCGAAGCGAAGCGGGCGUAGUCAUGGUGCCAAGAAAGAAUCUCUAAGGUAUGUCCGUGCAUGACCGUACCGUAAACCGCCACAGGUAGGUGGGAUGAGAAAUCUAAGGCGCUCGAGAUAACUAGCGUUAAGGAACUCGGCAAAUUGCACACGUAACUUCGGGAGAAGUGUGGCCUUCCCUUGUUUAGCAAUAAGUUAGGGGAGGUUGCAGAGAGCAGGCCCAGGCGACUGUUUACCAAAAACACAGGUCUCUGCGAACGCGCAAGCGGACGUAUAGGGACUGACGCCUGCCCGGUGCCGGAAGGUUAAGAGGAGGAGUCAGCCGCAAGGCGAAGCCCUGAAUCGAAGCCCCGGUAAACGGCGGCCGUAACUAUAACGGUCCUAAGGUAGCGAAAUUCCUUGUCGGGUAAGUUCCGACCCGCACGAAUGGUGGAACGAUCUGGGCACUGUCUCGACGCUAGACUCGGUGAAAUUUAAGUACCGGUAAAGAUGCCGGUUACCCGUGGUUAGACGGAAAGACCCCGUGAACCUUCACUGCAACUUACCAUUGGGACUUGGCCUGACAUGUGUAGGAUAGGUGGGAGACUAUGAGGCAUGGCCGCCAGGCUGUGCGGAGUCGUCGGUGAAAUACCACUCUUGUCAGGCUAGGUUUCUAACCUGGUCCGUCAAUCCGGAUCGGGGACAGUAGUAGGCGGGCAGUUUGACUGGGGCGGUCGCCUCCUAAACGGUAACGGAGGUGCGCGAAGGUCGCCUUGCUCUGGUUGGAAAUCAGAGCGCAAGUGUAAAGGCAUAAGGCGGCUUGACUGCGAGUCCGACAGGACGAGCAGGUACGAAAGUAGGUCUUAGUGAUCUGGCGGUGGCAUGUGGAAGCGCCGUCACUUAACGGAUAAAAGGUACUCUGGGGAUAACAGGCUGAUUUUGCCCAAGAGUUCACAUCGACGGCAAAGUUUGGCACCUCGAUGUCGGCUCAUCGCAUCCUGGGGCUGGAGCAGGUCCCAAGGGUUUGGCUGUUCGCCAAUUAAAGCGGUACGUGAGCUGGGUUCAGAACGUCGUGAGACAGUUCGGUCCCUAUCUGCCACGGGCGUUGGAUGGUUGAGAGAAGCUGCCUUUAGUACGAGAGGACCGAGGUGGACGAACCUCUGGUGUACCAGUUAUCCUGCCAAGGGUACGUGCUGGGUAGCCAUGUUCGGAAGGGAUAACCGCUGAAAGCAUCUAAGUGGGAAGCCCAUCUCAAGAUGAACCAUCCCUGGGGGUUUAACCCCCCUGAAGGUACCAGGGAGACUACCUGGUUGAUAGGCUGGAGAUGUACGUACAGUAAUGUACUCAGUCGACCAGUACUAAUCUACCGUGAGGCUUGACCAUAU
Molecule: ribosomal RNA, 3013 nt
Filed under: Spirochaetales bacterium
Lineage: Bacteria; Pseudomonadati; Spirochaetota; Spirochaetia; Spirochaetales
Description: 23S ribosomal RNA
Rfam family: Bacterial large subunit ribosomal RNA
Source: RNAcentral